Non-coding RNA from Pelobates cultripes (western spadefoot toad), 247 nucleotides. The record is from the annotation of a GenBank genome assembly. Lineage: Eukaryota; Metazoa; Chordata; Amphibia; Anura; Pelobatidae.
UUUCACGGUAAUUUCUACUUGCAAAAGUGUGGCAUUGCUAUGGGCACCAGGUUUGCCCCUAGCUAUGCCAACUUGUUUAUGGCACACUGGGACUCGGUCUGCUGGGCGAGGAUGGCAGUUGGGGUGCAAACCUGGUGCUCUACGAAAGAUACAUCAAUGACCUGUUAUUGAUUUGGAGAGGUGGAGAACCACUUCUCCAACAGUUCUUUAGCUAGGUAAACACUAACGAUUGGGGUAGAACUCUGUC